RNAcentral lists this long non-coding RNA (207 nucleotides) under Nicotiana benthamiana. Its description in RNAcentral is "long non-coding RNA (NBEN_LNC017826)". The record is from RNAcentral. Lineage: Eukaryota; Viridiplantae; Streptophyta; Magnoliopsida; Solanales; Solanaceae.
AUCACCACCAUACUACCGCCAACCUUUCCACUACAAGCACCUUCUUUCCUAACUAUAAAUCCAACUCUUUUCACGUUUUUUAAUAAGUUUUAACAACAUCCAUCCUAAAUCCUUAUAAAAAUUUCAAAUUCAAGCUCGAACCCAAAGCUUCAAACUUGUUAAUGGUAUUUUUUGAAUUUUAUCAAAAUUAAUCACCUAAGUAACUUU